Molecule: non-coding RNA, 146 nt
Organism: Caenorhabditis elegans
Lineage: Eukaryota; Metazoa; Nematoda; Chromadorea; Rhabditida; Rhabditidae
Source: Ensembl
GUUUUCCAAACACAUCUGGAAGUGAUUGAUCAGAUUCAUUGGUUUCCGCAAAGUGACGGAAGAGAAGUGAAAAAGAAUAAGAUGCUCUAGUUGUUUUCUUUUCUUCUUUACUUGCUUGAUCCAUAAAAAAAUUGUACGAACUGAAG